This 253-nucleotide ribosomal RNA is filed under the name uncultured Oscillospiraceae bacterium. RNAcentral's name for it is "partial 16S ribosomal RNA". It matches the Rfam family "Bacterial small subunit ribosomal RNA", at positions 524 to 776 of the family's 1533-position model. Lineage: Bacteria; Bacillati; Bacillota; Clostridia; Eubacteriales; Oscillospiraceae. The record is from RNAcentral.
UACGUAGGUGGCAAGCGUUGUCCGGAUUUACUGGGUGUAAAGGGCGUGUAGCCGGGCUGACAAGUCAGAUGUGAAAUCCGGGGGCUCAACCCCCGAACUGCAUUUGAAACUGUUGGUCUUGAGUAUCGGAGAGGCAGGCGGAAUUCCUAGUGUAGCGGUGAAAUGCGUAGAUAUUAGGAGGAACACCAGUGGCGAAGGCGGCCACCUGGACCGGUAUUGACGCUGAGGCGCGAAAGCGUGGGGAGCAAACAGG